GACGAACGCUGGCGGCGUGCUUAACACAUGCAAGUCGAACGGAAAGGCCCCUUUGGGGUUACUCGCGUGGCUGACGAGUGGGUAACACGUGCGUAAGCUGCCCUUGCCUUAGUGAUAAAUUCCGGCAACUGGGGCUAAUACCGGCUAGGAAUCCUUGCUGCAUGGUGGGGGUGGGAAAGCUUCUUCGGGUUUGGAUGGAUUCGCGACUUAUCAGCUUGUUUGUGGGGUGGUGGCUUACCAAGGCUUUGACUGGUAGGCGGCCUGAGAGGGCGACCGGCCACACUGGGGCUGAGAGACGGGCCAGACUCCUAUGGGAGGCAGAAGUGGGGAAUAUUGCACAAUGGGCGGAAGCCUGAGGCAGCAACGCCGCGUGCGGGAUGACGGGCUUCGGGGGGUAAACCGCUUUCAGCAGGGGCGAAGCGUGUGGUGACGGUACCUGCAGAAGAAGCACCGGCUAACUUCGUG
Molecule: ribosomal RNA, 465 nt
Filed under: uncultured bacterium
Lineage: Bacteria
Description: partial 16S ribosomal RNA
Rfam family: Bacterial small subunit ribosomal RNA
Source: RNAcentral